RNAcentral lists this ribosomal RNA (503 nucleotides) under uncultured bacterium. RNAcentral describes it as "partial 16S ribosomal RNA". It matches the Rfam family "Bacterial small subunit ribosomal RNA", at positions 30 to 523 of the family's 1533-position model. The record is from RNAcentral.
AUUGAACGCUGGCGGCGGGCUUAACACAUGCAAGUCGAGCGGGGGAGGUUGCUUCGGUAACUGACCUAGCGGCGGACGGGUGAGUAAUACUUAGGAAUCUGCCUAUUAAUGGGGGACAACAUCUCGAAAGGGAUGCUAAUACCGCAUACGCCCUACGGGGGAAAGCAGGGGAUCACUUGUGACCUUGCGCUAAUAGAUGAGCCUAAGUCGGAUUAGCUAGUUGAUGGGGUAAAGGCCUACCAAGGCGACGAUCUGUAGCGGGUCUGAGAGGAUGAUCCGCCACACUGGGACUGAGACAUGGCCCAGACUCCUACGGGAGGCAGCAGUGGGGAAUAUUGGACAAUGGGGGGAACCCUGAUCCAGCCAUGCCGCGUGUGUGAAGAAGGCCUUAUGGUUGUAAAGCACUUUAAGCGAGGAGGAGGCUCUUUUGGUUAAUACCCAAGAUGAGUGGACGUUACUCGCAGAAUAAGCACCGGCUAACUCUGUGCCAGCCGCCGCAGUAA